Molecule: long non-coding RNA, 371 nt
Filed under: Homo sapiens (human)
Lineage: Eukaryota; Metazoa; Chordata; Mammalia; Primates; Hominidae
Description: HSALNT0337318
Source: RNAcentral
GAAGGGCCUUGCUGAGGUCAUUUGCAUUUGCUAUGGCCUCCACUCUUGCUCCUCCGGAUGACCUCCACAUUGCUGGCUUCUUGUUGGAUAUAAAGAAGAUGACAAUUAGCGUGUGGGGAGUCCCCAAGACAUUUUGAUGUUAAACGUGGGUCCUUCUUCUUGACAAGGGAUACACACCUACCUACCGAGAGACCUCCAAACAGAGACAUCAACACAGAAACCUCCGCAGAGAUAACCAGAUCUCCAUAUGCAAACCCAUGUAAAAAGAAACCUAGAGAAACAGAUGCCCAGAUGAAGAGGGCAGGUGGAGCUACUGCCUGGAAGGACUCAAUGUGCUUCAGUGGCUGAUGCCCACUCCUUAAAAAACAAAA